UAAAAAAAGCUCCCUCACCAGCGCACCGCCGCCGGCCGGCUCCCUCCCCAGCACACCGCCGCCUCGCUCCCUCCCCAGCUCGCUGCUGCUAGGCUCCCUGCCCAGCACGCCACCGCCCCCGACUCCCUCCCCAGCGCGCCACCGCCAGGAUACCUCCCAGCGCAUCGCCGCCCUAUUCCUUCCCUAGUGUGCCGCCGUCAGGAUUCUUCCCAGCGCUCCGCCUCCCGUCUUCCUCCCCAAAGCGCUGCUGCCGCCCGGAUCCCUCCCUAGAAGCCACCGCGGUCUGUUCCUAUCGUCGCCCCCCGAACAUCGCCAAGCCCAGGCUGUGCCGCAACACCUCCAUGAAUGUGUGUGGUGCCCCGGCUCGAUGCCUUUCGGCCUCCAUCACCGUCGCUCCCCGAACUGCUGUCUGCUGCACAAGCAACACAGUGGGCCGUUCGACUUCCUGCCGCUGGCCGUCCUCCCUGCCGCGGGGCACCUCUCCCCCCUGCACCACCCGUGGCGACCUUCACCUACAAGCUUGGGGCAGAGCUCACCCUUCUCCACAUCCUUUUCCUCUAAUAAUUGCAGCCGUUGGCGCCGUGGGUCGCCACAAAUCAAGGUCACCGCCCCUUGGCUCUUGCUGCUCUCGACGCAGAUAUUUUAUGCCAGUAAGGUGUUUGUGUUAAUGUCUGAAAAGAGAAGAAUUUUUUCCCCUGAAUUUUGUUUUGUGUUAGGAUGGCUAGUGACAUUGGAGAAUAAGUGGAGUACAAAUCUAAUUUUCUUGGAGGUUCAUUGUGUCUCUGUCGAGCAGUACAUUCUCUAAAUUAAGUCUGAUGUAAUUGGUUAAUGAAAACAAAACAAUUGUUCAAAUGUGCAUUAUAGAAAACAAUUCAUACAAAAAAAACAGUCAGUAGUCAGUUUGUUUUACAAAAAAGUUCACCACAUAAAAAAUGCAACAGUAGUUCAACACAAUAUCCAGGAGGGUGUGAGUUGGGCAUGUUUACAAACGAAAGAUAUGUGUCGAAAAGUUCACUUCAUCUGCAGAGCAUUAGAUUGUCAAAAAGUAGAAUGGUUGAGCUAGUUCAGGUUUUUCAGUCCAUCUUUUGUUUGCUAUUUGGUUCAUCUAAUUCCGAAUCAUAAGUACAAUUCCCUUUAUGUUCUGUAUCUUCAUAUAACACAAAACAGGCACCGGAGGAUAAGGUGAGAAUAUAUAUUAAUAAAAUGUGUGGUGGCAUUGUCCACAUUUUGAAUUUAAACCACUAGCUUUUUUAUACACAAGGGCUUGUCCUGGGAGAGCCCCAUAUAGGCAUGAGCACUACUGCUACGAACUUUAAUCCCCCAUUUUUCCGGCCUGCAGAGCAUUAGAAAAAGUUCAAUUUUGGAAAUCCAUUCAUUUCUAUGGUUAGUAGACUGGUGGUUCAUCUUGCUAAAACUUGCGGUUUAAAGUUUCUCUUUUUGUUACAGUAGUUCAGUGUGUAUUUUAAGAAGAAAAACCAACAAUGGCGGCUGCACUGGAGCCGCAAGACUACUAUUACUGAUAGGUUUGUGAACUAAUAAACAUUGUUUUUAUGUUCCUGUGAUGUUUCAUAUUAUUGUGAACUGAUAGUUGAUGCUCUUUGUGGACUGAUAGCUGAUACUUUUUGUUACUAGUAAAGGAAUAUUAUUUUGUUACCCUCGAUCCCUUAUAGGUCGUGAUCUAUUUCUCUGAACUAGUACGCCGAACAGGAAAGGAAAAAAAAUCCCUCACACCAAAUCUGGAUCAAGUCAAUCGAACCCCGACCCCGAGCGCCAUCAUCUACCACCUUCCCUGUCCGCUGCGCCUCCGGCCACCAUCCCCCGACCGCCACGCCUCCGCCCGUCUUCCCCGGCCGCCGCGCCCCCGACCAUCUUCCCCCGGCUGCUGUGCCUCCGGCUACCCUCCACGGCCACCGCGCCUCCGGCCUCCUCCCUCCGCUGUGUCGUGCCUCCGUCCACCUCCCUUCGCCGCCGCUGCGCCUCCGGCCACCUUCCCCCAGUCGUCGCGCCUCCGGCCUCCUUCCCUCCACCAGCGUCGCUCCUCCGGCCACCUCCCUCCACUGCCACCCCUUGGGCCACCUCCCUCUGCCACCAUUCAGCCUCCGGCCACCUCCCUCUGCCACAAUUCAGCCUUCGGCCACCUCCUUCCGCCACCACCCGCCUCGAGUCACUUCCCUUGUGGAUGCACUCCCCAUGAAGAAGACCCGCCGUUCGCCACCUACUGCUGGCCCAGCUCCUGGAUCCACUACAUCAGCGCACGCAUGUUCAGUUUCGGUGAAAAAAGGAGCUCCCCUUUGAGUUCAAAUGGGUUCAAAAAAAUGGUUUGCUACAUUACAGUUAGUGUUUUUUUGUGUGUUGUUUGUGUACUCGCAGUUACUUUUUGGGCAUCAUUCGAUCUGGACCAUAGUUGCUGCAGGGAUCUAUUUAGUACAUAUAAUUACAAAAACAUAGUUCAAAUAAUAUUCCCCCAAAAGUUCAAUAUUUAGGGUUCUGCGCGUGUCCUUACAUUAGCUAAUCUUCAUCAUGUCCAGAUAAUGCCUAAAGUGAAGAGAUUUUUUUUAAUUCAACUUUUGAAUGCCUUUCAGUUCAUCAACUUCUCAGCUGUCCUGAGUAGCAGCAUUGCUGCUACUAUCAAUGGGUUUGCAAGUUGCAACCAUUAUUGAUGCAUUUGUAUUUCUGAUCACUGAUGGUUUCAUGAGGAUGUGCUCAAAAAUUGCUACUGUAGGUUGCUCUUUGUUGCAUUUGGUACCGUCAAUUAAAAAUCAUUCUUUCUUAUGUUUCUGUGUUGUCAAAUAAAAUCUAAUGUACAUGUGAUGUCCAGUUUCUUUAGGUUCAGUUCAAUAUCUAAAAUCCGUUCAGUUUAAUUCUUAUGCGUCGUGAAAAAUACAUAUAACAUGCUUUGUUGUCUGGGAUUUGGGGGUGCCUAGUUUGGCUAAGAAUGCCUUAAUUACUGCUUUCUUUGCUUUGUUCAAGUGACAGAAAAAAUCGGUUCGAGAAUAUAUAUGCAGGAGGUUGGGAGCAAAAAAACCUCAUAAUUUUUCUCGGUUCAAUGAUUGGAAGCAAUAAAACUGUAGCUAGUGGUUUCGAUGUGUCAAAAGAUGAACAUUUCUGCUCAAAUUAAGUUUGCAUCAGAGAUAUAGCCAUUUUCUUAGUGAAUUUUCUUUUAGUGAAACUUAUUUGAUUGCUCAAGAGAAGUGUUAUUUACUAGUGAAUUUUCUUUUAGUGUAGAAGUUCAAUAUGUAUUUAUAUCAACAGUCCGUAAUGAACAGUACAAUCUAUGUGCUAAAACAUAACAGAUCAGUUCAUUGUCAGUACAGGCUCUGAAGCUGCUCAGUAUAGGUUGAGGAACAUUUUUGGAAUCACAUAUAUAUAGCGGUUGCUUCCAAAUGAAUUUGUCGUUGCUAGUACAUUUUUGGUAGCAGAUGCUUCCAAGUGAAUUGCCGUUACUACUAUCUACGAUGUUGCUGCCAUGUUUUGUUGUUCUUUGAAUUUAGUAUGUAACCACUGCUCAUGGUAACAUCAAACAACAAUUUUUAUAUGCCUGGCAUGUUUGAUCUGAUUUGACUCCAUGACCAUAGUGCAAAACAAAAAACUACAGUAUCCUUGCUAGCUUACAGCUGUAAUUUUGAUUGCACAGUAGUUUAAUUGCAUCGCCAUCUCCCGGUGGGGCUCUGCUGCCGGAGCACCCUGGCCAUUCACAGCCACCACUCCAGGCCAUUCAACGCCACCACCCAUGGCCAUUCAUUGCCAACAGCACCCUGGAUCCCACCCCUCACCCUAGUUGUUUCAGUUAUCGAGUGAGUUUUAGUCCAACUUGAGCUCCUUGAGAUGAUCAUAUAAUUAACUUCAAAAUUAUUACAUGGUCCAUGUAUUUUAUAGCAAGUCCAUGUAGUACUACAUGGGAAGUACAAAAAUUACUUCUAGUGAGAGUUCAUUUAAAUCUACAGGGUCCAGUCCCAUAUAUCUUUUAACCAGGUUCAUGGUGAAGCCCAGGGUGCUCGUCGGCGAUCACAAGAAGCAGACCAUCGAGAAGGAGCUGGGCGACAUGGUGCAGCGGUGUGGCCAGUUCAACCACCUAGCUAAUACAUCAUGAUUUUCUCUCUUUUGCCUAUGUCUCUUAGUGUGUUACCCCUUCCUCUUUUCAUAUAGCGUAUUCUGAACAUCAGAUGCUUUCAAAAAUGUGCCGCGCAAGUUCAAGUAUAGCUGCUGCAGGAGUUCAAAAAUCUGAACAGUUUAAGCUCAACCCAAUUUCAAGAACUGUUUCCUUUAUAAAUUGUUUGAAGUUUGUGAUUUUGGCUCAUGGCAAGAGCUCGUUGACGAUGAAGUAUGUGAAGCUUCACCACCAUUCACAACUCCAGUAUGGUCCAGUUCGUCAUGAGGAUCUGGAGCUUCAACUUUUUCAGUUCAUCUUUCAUAUGCUUUUUAGUACAUCUACUUCCUCAUCGUAAGUCCAAUUUCCCUUUUAUGUUUCCAGCUUCCCAUAGAACAAACGUGUGCUUGUGGUUAAGCAUGAGAAAUGAUCAUCUGUACUGUCUCUUGGUUUAAUCAAUUUGUAGAGCAAAACAUGUACCAAAGUCAAAUUCUCAAAAAAGGCUCUUCUUUGCAUCUUUCAGUGCUCACUUAGGUUGGCAUCAAAUUAUUUGCUUCUUUCGAUGCUGUAAAAUUAUGAAUUUUGGGUAUAUCUUUUGGUGCGUAUUUCUGUUUGUAUAAAACUUAUAUGUUACAUUUUCUUGAGGGUGCAUAUUUCUGUUUGUAUAAAACUUAUAUGUUACAUUUUCUUGAGAAAAAUGGAUGCAUCAUUCACAACCGUUUUUGAUAACUAAGUAGAAUGACUAGUACUGAGAGCAAGUAUUCUACAAAUGUACAUAGUAUGAUUUUAUUAAUGGAUAAGGACAUGAAAUCAUAUCUUACUUCAAAGUUUGAGCACACGACUAUUUUGUAUCUUUACUGUUUCUAAUAGCAAGUUUUGCAAUUGAUCCGUCCAUAUGGAAGAAGGAAAUCAGUCCAACAGGCGCAUCUAAAGUGACAUGUCGUGCACCGCCCACUCGUCCUCAAGCUGCUCGUCGUGUCAUGUCGGCUUGCCAUCAACCACAGUUGUGGCUCAACCCCCACGGUGCUUCCCCUCUAUUGCUGCCCUCACCAUGCUCUCAUGCGUAUUGGCGGCCUCGACGAGCUGACUAUGGUUUUUGCUCCUGCGUGCUGCAGUACACCGCCGAGCUGGUCACCAUUUAUAUUUUUGUUUUAAAUUCAUUUGUGUUCUUGUUGUCAGGUCGCUUGCAAACUUGUUAUUGUUGUUAGUUCAUGUGUGUUCUUAUUGUUAGGUCCUGUGCAACUUUGUUAUCAGUUCAUGUGUAUUGUGUUUCUUUUGUCGCUUCAUUAGUACAUAUCCACCUACAGCCCGUUCAAUGAUGUAAGCCACACAAGUUCAGAAAGAAAUGGAUAAAACAAUGGUGUUGGUGAAAAGAAUACAGCCCAUUCAAUGAUGUAAGCCAUGCAAGUUUGAAAGGAUUCACAUCAGUACAAA
Triticum aestivum (bread wheat) is the source of this 5521-nucleotide long non-coding RNA. RefSeq lists it as uncharacterized. Lineage: Eukaryota; Viridiplantae; Streptophyta; Magnoliopsida; Poales; Poaceae. The record is from RefSeq and is a predicted model, not a curated record. The transcript is spliced from 2 exons.